UAGGGAAUCUUCGGCAAUGGGGGGAACCCUGACCGAGCAACGCCGCGUGAGUGAAGAAGGUUUUCGGAUCGUAAAGCUCUGUUGUUAAGGAAGAACGAGUGUGAGAAUGGAAAGUUCAUGCUGUUACGGUACUUAACCAGAAAGGGACGGCUAACUACGUGCCAGCAGCCGCGGUAAUACGUAGGUCCCGAGCGUUGUCCGGAUUUAUUGGGCGUAAAGCGAGCGCAGGCGGUUAGAAAAGUCUGAAGUGAAAGGCAGUGGCUCAACCAUUGUAGGCUUUGGAAACUGUUUAACUUGAGUGCAGAAGGGGAGAGUAGAAUUCCAUGUGUAGCGGUGAAAUGCGUAGAUAUUGGGAGGAACACCAGUAGCGAAGGCGGCUUUCUGGACUGCAACUGACACUGAGGCACGAAAGCGUGGGUAGCAAACAGG
RNAcentral lists this ribosomal RNA (429 nucleotides) under Verrucomicrobiota bacterium. RNAcentral's name for it is "Verrucomicrobia bacterium partial 16S ribosomal RNA". It matches the Rfam family "Bacterial small subunit ribosomal RNA", at positions 355 to 776 of the family's 1533-position model. Lineage: Bacteria; Pseudomonadati; Verrucomicrobiota. The record is from RNAcentral.